RNAcentral lists this ribosomal RNA (216 nucleotides) under Clostridioides difficile. Its description in RNAcentral is "partial 16S ribosomal RNA". It matches the Rfam family "Bacterial small subunit ribosomal RNA", at positions 573 to 789 of the family's 1533-position model. Lineage: Bacteria; Bacillati; Bacillota; Clostridia; Peptostreptococcales; Peptostreptococcaceae. The record is from RNAcentral.
AGGCGGUCUUUCAAGUCAGGAGUGAAAGGCUACGGCUCAACCGUAGUAAGCUCUUGAAACUGGGAGACUUGAGUGCAGGAGAGGAGAGGGGAAUUCCUAGUGUAGCGGUGAAAUGCGUAGAUAUUAGGAGGAACACCAGUUGCGAAGGCGGCUCUCUGGACUGUAACUGACGCUGAGGCACGAAAGCGUGGGGAGCAAACAGGAUUAGAUACCCUG